This is a long non-coding RNA of Ailuropoda melanoleuca (giant panda), 311 nucleotides long. RefSeq lists it as uncharacterized. The record is from RefSeq and is a predicted model, not a curated record. Lineage: Eukaryota; Metazoa; Chordata; Mammalia; Carnivora; Ursidae. The transcript has 3 exons.
GGAAGGUCUCCGUCAUAUACCAGCACCUCCAGGAAGUUUUUGAUGUCCAAUGAACAAGGGAGCCUGCUGGCAUGAAGGAGGCCUGGCAGAAGCAGUUUAGGAGAACAGGCGCUCAAGAACAGGAGCCAAGAAGAGAUCUCGUUGACAAUCCCAAGCCCCAGGCUUGCAUCUUGCCUUUGGAGAAGAGUGAGCUUGGUGACAGAUCUUCAGCACCUGCAUCCCUCUGAGGCAAAAUUAUGGAAAUACGUUCACUGAAAAGCAGGCACUGGAAUGCCCAUAGCAGUGUCAUCCCUAAUAGCCCCAGACAGAUG